GGGGACCAUCCUCCAAGGCUAAAUACUCGUGAUCGACCGAUAGCGUACCAGUACUGUGAAGGAAAGGUUAAAAGAACCCCGGGAGGGGAGUGAAAUAGAUCCUGAAACCGCAUACAUACAAACAGUAGGAGCCUCGUUAAGGGGUGACUGCGUACCUUUUGCAUAAUGGGUCAGCGACUUACGUUUAAUGGCGAGCUUAACCGUAUAGGGGAGGCGCAGCGAAAGCGAGUUCGAACAGAGCGUUCAGUCGUUAGGCGUAGACCCGAAACCAGAUGAUCUAUCCAUGGCCAGGUUGAAGGUGUGGUAACACACACUGGAGGACCGAACCGACUAGUGUUGCAAAAUUAGCGGAUGAGCUGUGGAUAGGGGUGAAAGGCUAAACAAAUCUGGAGAUAGCUGGUUCUCCCCGAAAACUAUUGAGGUAGUGCCUCGUGUAUGACUCCAGGGGGUAGAGCACUGUUAUGGCUAGGGGGACAUGGCGUCUUACCAAACCAUGGCAAACUCCGAAUACUUGGAAGUUUGAGCACGGGAGACAGAGCACCGGGUGCUAACGUCCGGACUCAAGAGGGAAACAACCCAGACCGCCGGCUAAGGUCCCUAAUAUUGACUAAGUGGAAAACGAAGUGGAAAGGCUAAGACAGUCAGGAAGUUGGCUUAGAAGCAGCCAUCCUUCAAAGAAAGCGUAAUAGCUCACUGAUCGAGUCUUUCUGCGCGGAAGAUGUAACGGGGCUAAGUCAAUAACCGAAGCCGCGGAUUCACACUUAUGUGUGAGUGGUAGGGGAGCGUUCUGUAAGCCUGCGAAGGUGACUCGUAAGGGUUGCUGGAGGUAUCAGAAGUGCGAAUGCUGACAUGAGUAACGUUAAAGCGGGUGAAAAGCCCGCUCGCCGUAAGCCCAAGGUUUCCUGCUCUACGUUCAUCGGAGCAGGGUGAGUCGGCCCCUAAGGUGAGGCUGAGAAGCGUAACUGAUGGGAACAAGGUUAAUAUUCCUUGACCACCGCUGAAUGCGAAGGGGGGACGGAGUAUUGAAGAUCAUCCGGGUGUUGGAUAUCCCGGUUUGCGAGCGUAGGAGGCUGACAGGCAAAUCCGUCAGCGAAUCUCCGAGGCAAAGCAUCGAGCUCUCUUUUGAGCGAAGUGAUUGGAUGUGCUUCCAGGAAAAGCCUCUAAGCUCCAGUUCAGCGGGACCGUACCGCAAACCGACACUGGUGGGCGAGCUGAAUAUGCUCAGGCGCUUGAGAGAACUCAGGAGAAGGAACUCGGCAAAUUGACACCGUAACUUCGGGAUAAGGUGUGCCUUUGUAGCGUGGAGGGAGAAACACCCCGAGCGCGAAGAGGUCUCAGAUAAUCGGUGGCUGCGACUGUUUAUUAAAAACACAGCACUCUGCAAAGACGAAAGUCGACGUAUAGGGUGUGAUGCCUGCCCGGUGCUGGAAGAUUAAUUGAUGGGGUGCAAGCUCCUGAUCGAAGUCCCAGUAAACGGCGGCCGUAACUAUAACGGUCCUAAGGUAGCGAAAUUCCUUGUCGGGCAAGUUCCGACCUGCACGAAUGGCAUAACGAUGGCCACACUGUCUCCUCCUGAGACUCAGUGAAGUUGAAGUGUUUGUGAUGAUGCAAUCUCCCCGCGGCUAGACGGAAAGACCCCAUGAACCUUUACUGUAGCUUUGCAUUGGACUUUGAACCGAUCUGUGUAGGAUAGGCGGGAGCCUGUGAAACCACAACGCCAGUUGUGGCGGAGGCGUCCUUGAAAUACCGCCCUGAUUUGUUUGAGGUUCUAACCUGGGACAGUCAUCCUGUCCGGGGACCGUGCAUGGUAGGCAGUUUGACUGGGGCGGUCUCCUCCUAAAGGGUAACGGAGGAGUGCGAAGGUACGCUAGGUACGGUCGGAAAUCGUGCUGAUAGUGCAAUGGCAAAAGCGUGCUUGACUGCGAGACCCACAAGUCGAGCAGAUACGAAAGUAGGUCAUAGUGAUCCGGUGGCUCUGUAUGGAAGGGCCAUCGCUCAACGGAUAAAAGGUACUCUGGGGAU
This 2022-nucleotide ribosomal RNA is filed under the name human gut metagenome. RNAcentral describes it as "bacterial LSU rRNA". It matches the Rfam family "Bacterial large subunit ribosomal RNA", at positions 448 to 2475 of the family's 2925-position model. The record is from RNAcentral.